This 252-nucleotide ribosomal RNA is filed under the name uncultured bacterium. RNAcentral's name for it is "partial 16S ribosomal RNA". It matches the Rfam family "Bacterial small subunit ribosomal RNA", at positions 524 to 776 of the family's 1533-position model. The record is from RNAcentral.
UACGUAUGGUGCAAGCGUUAUCCGGAUUUACUGGGCGUAAAGGGAGCGCAGGCGGCGCGCCAAGUCUGAUGUGAAAGCCUUCGGCUUAACCGUAGUAAGCCUUUGAAACUGGGAAACUUGAGUGCAGGAGAGGAGAGUGGAAUUCCUAGUGUAGCGGUGAAAUGCGUAGAUAUUAGGAGGAACACCAGUUGCGAAGGCGGCUCUCUGGACUGUAACUGACACUGAGGCACGAAAGCGUGGGGAGCAAACAGG